RNAcentral lists this long non-coding RNA (1879 nucleotides) under Mus musculus (house mouse). RNAcentral's name for it is "long non-coding RNA chr17:75244416-75246295". Lineage: Eukaryota; Metazoa; Chordata; Mammalia; Rodentia; Muridae. The record is from RNAcentral.
AGGUAGGAACAUUUACAGUGGAAAAAUUGUCAACGUUGUGAGAUGAGGCCCCUCGGCCUAUGAUUUGGGGGUCUUCAGGUCUGCCAAAGCUCUUCAGUAUACAAUAGGCUUGCUUGCUCUAUCUCAACCUUAGCAUCUUGUCCACAAGUAGGCUUAUCCCAGCUCCAUCCUUCAGCUGAUCUUCGCAGAAUGGGUUGCCUGAACACUCUGCUUGCUUUGCCCUAGUUGGAUCCUAGUAGACAUUAGUGCUGAAGGUUAUGGGAGCUUUCUGAGGAGCUAGAGCAAGCAUAUUGCUCUUUGGCUUGGUAAAGUUAGGUUCAGAGGUGUGAAUGCUUGACAGCCUUUCUCUGGGAAUGCGGUGAUUGACUCCAUGGGAGGGAGUGUAUUUGUGCUUUCAACUUGUAAAACCCACCCUGAUGCCUGAAUACAAAUGGGGCUAGGGGCAUCUAUGUCCACCUAAGUAUAUCUUGCUGAGAAGGAGAAUCCCGUGUCCCCCCCCCCCCCCAGAGCAUCCCAACCUCAUUCUCUGAUUGGUUAUUUUCUCCACUGUGACCUUUCAGUGUGGAAGAAAUGCCCCUUGGACUAAUCCCACCACCACCACUCUGAUUACAUUCAAUUCGACUCAGAUAAGACUUGUGUCUUCUAGUGGAGCUGGGAAAAAAGCCUUGAGUGUGGCCACAGAGGGCUUUCACAUCGUGUUUCUUGCUACACACUGAAGCCUCUUUAUUCUUGAACAGCUGAUGGGACCGAUAGAAAACUUUGUACCUUAUAACCGUAACUUCACCCCUCAUAGCUCAUUCCUACGCUGUGUAGACCCAGUUUCGGGACACACACACAGUGCCAUGAUACCACCUACGCAUCCAAUUUAUUCCAUCAAUUUGGAUGGCUUUUGCUGCUCUUGGCUGUAGACCUGCAAAAACAAAGCCAUGGGAUAAAGCAGCUCGGAUCAUGAAAUGAAAACUUUGUACCUUUCUGGAGGCCCAGUAGAGGGAAAUGAUUUAUUUUUGCCCUACCAAAUAAAACAUUCUAGGAAUCCAAGGUGAAAAUUGGAUUUUAACUGCUACUAACAUUUUGAGCAUAUAAAACCGGCAAGUGUUGAGUGCUUUGCCUGAUUAAGAGAAGAGCCCGGAGUCUGGUACAAGAAUGAGCCAUGUUGGGGGCUGGUGAGAUGGCUCAGUGGGUAAGAGCACCCGACUGCUCUUCCGAAGGUCCGGAGUUCAAAUCCCAGCAACCACAUGGUGGCUCACAACCAUCUAUAAUGAGAUCUGAUGCCCAUUUCUGGAGUGUCUGAAGACAGCUACAGUGUACUUACAUAUAAUAAAUAAAUAAAUCUUUAAAAAAAAAAAAAAAAAAAAAAAAAAAAAAAAAGAAUGAGCCAUGUGCAAAGUGGUUGGUGUCUCAAAUAAAUCCAACCAGUUUAUGAAACUUGAAGAGAAUGUUAAGCAGAUGUUGGCAGCUAGGUCUCAGCAAUGGAGACCUCUGUGUUUUUGUUUGUCCUGUGUCUUAUAUUCGAGUCACUGUGGCCUUUCCUUUUCAGCUUCGAAUCUUCAUGCUUUGGGUUUAAAGUUGUCUAUGGCUGAGCUCGAGGAGUGUUGGGGAACAAUUCUGAUUCAAGUAGUUUGUCUUCACCUUGAUUCUUUCUCUUCCUUUAGGGUGUGUGUGUGUGUGUGUGUGUGUGUGUGCUAUGCAUGCAUGUCUGCUUCCCUCUUUGGCCCUGGUGCAGAUCCAGCUCUGGGAUAGGCAGACUCCCAUUCAGCACACGGUGCUCAUGGCUAGCAAAGACCCACCUGCCUGCAGCCUUUCCUUUUGGUGCACUGGUUUAUAACAGUCACACAGGCAACGUGCAUCCCACCAACUGGGUUGCUUUCCUCCCUCUUUC